Long non-coding RNA from Lucilia cuprina (Australian sheep blowfly), 381 nucleotides. RefSeq lists it as uncharacterized. NCBI's taxonomy places the organism in Eukaryota, Metazoa, Arthropoda, Insecta, Diptera, Calliphoridae. The transcript is spliced from 2 exons. The record is from RefSeq and is a predicted model, not a curated record.
UAUAUAAGAUUCGGCACAGCCGAAUAUAGCACUCUUACUUGUUUUGUAUAACAUUUAAAUGUGUUAUCAAUAUACCCGAUAUUUUUUAAUGGUUGGUAUUUAUUAUUAUUUUUUUUUAGAAUAAAUUAUCGCCAACAUUUCAAGAUCCAUUAGAAACCUGUAAUAGUAAUGAAAAUAUACUGCCUGUUUUACAAGAAAGCAAGGAAGAAAUUGAAUUUAAAAUAAAUAACGGUGGAAAUAAAGAACUUUUCGAGGAUAUAAACACUAAUAAUUAUUCAGAUGAUGAAUAUGUUGAAGAUAGUUCUGUAAUAAGUGGAGAUGAUAAUUUUACAGAGAGCGACAACAAUAUUGAAGAUAAUACUGAUGAAGAGUUAGUAGAAG